GACGAACGCUGGCGGCGUGCUUAACACAUGCAAGUCGAACGGAAAGGCCCUGCUUUUGUGGGGUGCUCGAGUGGCGAACGGGUGAGUAACACGUGAGUAACCUGCCCUUGACUUUGGGUUAACUUCAGGAAACUGGGGCUAAUACCGGAUAGGAGCUCCUGCUGCAUGGUGGGGGUUGGAAAGUUUCGGCGGUUGGGGAUGGACUCGCGGCUUAUCAGCUUGUUGGUGGGGUAGUGGCUUACCAAGGCUUUGACGGGUAGCCGGCCUGAGAGGGUGACCGGCCACAUUGGGACUGAGAUACGGCCCAGACUCCUACGGGAGGCAGCAGUGGGGAAUAUUGCACAAUGGGCGGAAGCCUGAUGCAGCAACGCCGCGUGCGGGAUGACGGCCUUCGGGUUGUAAACCGCUUUCGCCUGUGACGAAGCGUGAGUGACGGUAAUGGGGAAAGAAGCACCGGCUAACUACGU
This 467-nucleotide ribosomal RNA is filed under the name uncultured bacterium. RNAcentral describes it as "partial 16S ribosomal RNA". It matches the Rfam family "Bacterial small subunit ribosomal RNA", at positions 28 to 506 of the family's 1533-position model. The record is from RNAcentral.